Molecule: ribosomal RNA, 465 nt
Filed under: uncultured bacterium
Lineage: Bacteria
Description: partial 16S ribosomal RNA
Rfam family: Bacterial small subunit ribosomal RNA
Source: RNAcentral
GACGAACGCUGGCGGCGUGCUUAACACAUGCAAGUCGAACGGAAAGGCCCCUUUGGGGGUACUCGAGUGGCGCACGGGUGAGUAACACGUGAGUAACCUGCCCUUGACUUCGGGAUAACUUCAGGAAACUGGGGCUAAUACCGGAUAGGAAUCCUUGCUGCAUGGUGGGGGUUGGAAAGCUUCGGCGGUUUUGGAUGGACUCGCGGCUUAUCAGCUUGUUGGUGGGGUAGUGGCUUACCAAGGCUUUGACGGGUAGCCGGCCUGAGAGGGCGACCGGCCACAUUGGGACUGAGAUACGGCCCAGACGCCUACGGGAGGCAGCAGUGGGGAAGAUUGCACAAUGGGCGGAAGCCUGAUGCAGCAACGCCGCGUGCGGGAUGACGGCCUUCGGGUUGUAAACCGCUUUCAGCAGGGGCGAAGCUUGUGGUGACGGUACCUGCAGAAGAAGCACCGGCUAACUACGUG